RNAcentral lists this unclassified non-coding RNA (384 nucleotides) under Hevea brasiliensis (rubber tree). The record is from RNAcentral. Lineage: Eukaryota; Viridiplantae; Streptophyta; Magnoliopsida; Malpighiales; Euphorbiaceae.
AUAUUUCCUCGCAUUCAAAUUCCUAAAUCAUUCCAAAACCAAUUAUUAGAGAAUUCAAUUUCACUGUUGUUUUCUGGAAACGAGAAACUGAGAUUGAGAUCAUAAAGAAGAAAAACAAAGUUAAGCAAAAAUUUAAUAAAAUAAAAAUAAGUGAGAAUCUACUUCUGCGAGUUUCUAGAACCCCGGCUAAAAAGUGGAUAGAAGAGGAUCCAGAGUAUCUCCACCAGCCAAUAAUUAGUACACAGUAGAGAACAACAAGAACGGUAUUAGAGAGAGAGAAAAAAUUUUCAGUAGCAUAACUACAAAUUAGUACACGUAGUAAGAGCAAUUAAGCAAACAGAUUUGGAGGAAAUGAACUAACCUCUCUUGCUUUGCCUCCAGAAU